This is a long non-coding RNA of Mangifera indica (mango), 588 nucleotides long. RefSeq lists it as uncharacterized. The transcript has 2 exons. NCBI's taxonomy places the organism in Eukaryota, Viridiplantae, Streptophyta, Magnoliopsida, Sapindales, Anacardiaceae. The record is from RefSeq and is a predicted model, not a curated record.
CAUCGAUAAAUUCAAGACAAGAUUAUUGCACUUAGUGAGAAAGAUCGAUGAAAUCAAAGUGGUAGGUCUUCUUAUAUAUUGAUAAAGAAAAAAUAAAUGAGCUCGAAGAAAAAAGGAAAUCAUGUGUUUUAGGGUAGAUUGCAAGCAAUGUGGAAAAUAUGGGUGGGGCGGAUGUGGCAAACAUCUUGACAGAGUCUAUGCUAGCAUAGAAGAGGGGAAACACUGCAUGUGCCGCUCGUGGCCUGGCAUUGUUAUCCCAUCUCCUCAGGAACCAUCUCACUUGACUCCUUCAACCAUCACCACUACCACCACAACCGCCAGUGGCAAUGCAACGUCUUAAAUGGUUUGGAUGCUGUGUAGGUGGGGCUGUAUACCUGAAUAAAUAAUGGAGGGAUAUGUUUUCUAAUAUCUAGAAGGCAUGGGGUUUAAGUGUUGAUACCAAUGUAAUGUGGGCAAUUAUGGUUUGGUCAAUAUUUUAUUGACCAACCUGCCUAUGUGAGAUUACAAAAUAAUUAAUAAAUCAUCAGGCUCAUGUUGUUGAUGUUAUCUUGUGCAGGGUGCCUAAAAUGACUCGACCCAAUGCGCUAA